GCACAUUUCAUUCUCAGUACCAGAUGUCUGAAAAGUACAAAGCGCUUUUCGUUCUCGGUACCAAAUGUGUCAAAAGUACUAAGCACUUUUUCUUAGCAGUACCAGAUGACUGAAAAGCACCAAGUACAUUUCGUUCUCAGUACCACAUGUCUGAAAAGUACAAAGAAGUACAUUUCGUUCUCGGUACCUGAAAGUACAAAGUACAUUUUGCUUUCAGUACAAGACGUCUGAAAAGUACCACUUUUUGUUUGUUUACAGUACAAGAUGUCUCAAAAGUUACUUUCCCACUCCACCAAUGACGAAUGCAGAAAAUAUUGAUCGCCUUCCACCCACAGUUCCACAGGGACCGCCGGUUCAUUCAUACCAUCAGGGUCGGGCGAUUUAUCAGGUAAUAAUAUUAAGAAAACUAUGAAUUUUUCGAAAGUCAAAAUUUCUUGUCGAAAUCUAUUGAAAUAGAUUGUGGCAGUGAUGAUAUCAUUGUUUUUUAUUUAUUUUUUGAUAAAUAAAACAACAACAAGAAACAGGCCUCAUUAUUCAAAAUUUCUUGUCGAAAUCUAUUGAAAUAGAUUGUGUGUGGCAGUGAUGAUGUCAUUGUUUCUUAUUUAUUUAUUAAAAAUAAAUAAAUAUUAUUAUACUCUUUAUUUAUAUGAUAAAAAAAAGAACAACAAGAAUCAGACCUAAUUAUUCUAUUAGAACAGAACAGUUUUACUUUGUGUUCUUUAGUUUUAAUUAUGGUUGUUUGACCAACUUAUUAGCGAGGUGUUUUGUUUUGAUUCCAAAUUACUUCAUUACUGUCAUCGUCUAUUUCAUUUGCUAUUUUUUUUUUAUGUACAAGAAAACCCUAUUCUAACACAAGAGGAGCAUCGUCGACUCUAUUUUACAAUCAAGUAACUUUUAAGUCCAACUUGUACUUUUGCAACCAUACUAUUAGAGGCACUUAUUUACCCUACUGUCAACUUAUUUACCUACUGAUUUUAUUGUUAUAUGAGACCAGGCUCUUCCAGGAUCGAAUUUAUAAAAACCUUUAUUCUCCUACUGUACUGACAUCAAAUACGACGUGUUGGUUUAUUUAUUUAUGUUUAUAACUAUGAACUUGUUGAAAUUUCAAAAAGUCAUCAUAAUCCUAAGCUUUUUAUAAACUCGAUCCAAAGAGAGGCAACCUUAUAAAUAUAAUCAACAUUUAACAUACAACUUUGCCUGAAAACUGAUGGUACUCAUUGAAGUUGAGAAAACAAACCAAAAAGAG
RNAcentral lists this long non-coding RNA (1246 nucleotides) under Olea europaea subsp. europaea. Lineage: Eukaryota; Viridiplantae; Streptophyta; Magnoliopsida; Lamiales; Oleaceae. The record is from RNAcentral.